This is a long non-coding RNA of Passer domesticus (house sparrow), 535 nucleotides long. RefSeq lists it as uncharacterized. The record is from RefSeq and is a predicted model, not a curated record. The transcript has 3 exons. NCBI's taxonomy places the organism in Eukaryota, Metazoa, Chordata, Aves, Passeriformes, Passeridae.
CAAAUCUGACAUAGUUAUCCAGCUCUGCUCUUUGUACUGCUCAGCAAGCCUGCAAGCAGAAUACAGUAACUUCUACACUGUGUCCCUCAGAUGGGAACUACAAGAACAAUGUUACUGAAAGGAACUACAACUAUCAAUUGUUAUUCACAGGAAAAACUCAACAAUAACUUCCAGCAGCCUGUCUACAUGUGAAGUUCAUGGCUGUGGCUUCUGGCAGGUCUUUCACUAAACUUAAGUUCCAUUGGCAUAAUUGAUGGUUGGCCCUGUGAAGCAUCAUCUGACAACUCACCCAGCAGGCCUGGCUAAUACUACAGUCCAACAGGAAGCAUCAAUUUUAAUUCACAUAAAUAUGAAUCAGACCACAAGCACUUCCUCUGCAGUAAUGGUCUACAAUAGUAGAAAAUAACCACAGAUGCAUGGUAUUCACCUCAGAGACCCGCAGGCACCCCUCCUUCAAGACAAAGUAAUGCAGUUCAGUUUUACACUUGCCCUUACCGUAUCAUAGUCACUAUGGGAAUAUCCAAACAUAGGGAAU